Molecule: transfer RNA, 73 nt
Filed under: Actinomyces sp.
Lineage: Bacteria; Bacillati; Actinomycetota; Actinomycetes; Actinomycetales; Actinomycetaceae
Also listed under: 2 other names
Description: tRNA-Arg
Rfam family: tRNA
About the family: Transfer RNA (tRNA) molecules are approximately 80 nucleotides in length. Their secondary structure includes four short double-helical elements and three loops (D, anti-codon, and T loops).
Source: RNAcentral
GCCCUCGUAGCUCAGGGGAUAGAGCACCACUCUCCUAAAGUGGGUGUCGGACGUUCGAAUCGUCUCGGGGGCA